GUCUACGGCCAUACCACCCUGAACGUGCCCAAUCUCAUCUGAUCUCGGAAGCUAAGCAGGUCAGGCCUGGUUAGUACUUGAAUGGGAGAAAAUCAGUGGGGCUGCUC
This 107-nucleotide ribosomal RNA is filed under the name Microcebus murinus (gray mouse lemur). Lineage: Eukaryota; Metazoa; Chordata; Mammalia; Primates; Cheirogaleidae. The record is from RNAcentral.